Molecule: long non-coding RNA, 769 nt
Filed under: Marmota monax (woodchuck)
Lineage: Eukaryota; Metazoa; Chordata; Mammalia; Rodentia; Sciuridae
Source: RNAcentral
CUAAUUUUGAUUGUACAAUAAGAUGAUUGAUAAGAAAGUCAAUGUGUAGAUUUCAUUUUAAAGAUAAGUAUUUUAUAAUCUGGCAUACUGUGUAAUGAGGAUUCUUAGAGACAAAAACAGGGCAUUUUGAUUGUUAAAAUUAGAAGAAAAAUGUUAAUCUUUUAUAGUUUCUGAUCUCCCUACUAAAUUUCUCCCAAAUGUUUUGUUUCAGUCAGUUUUGCAACCACUUUAGUUUUUCCACAAAUAACUUCAGUUUUUUUGCUUUAAAACACCAAGUCACAAAUUUUAAAGUAAAAAUUAGCAGCAGCAGUACUCUACUCAGUAAUUUAAAUGUGUCCCAGUGGAGAAGCAUAACUGCAAUCAAUUUGCUCACACUAACUUUAAAAAACAUUACAAAUACUCAAAACAAAGAAAAAAUUGUAGCCAAUUAUAAAAGCAAAUGCCUUGAACAUGGACCCUCCAGCGUGCUUGUCUAUUCAUCAUAUUUUACUUAGCAGCCAUGUAAGUGAGUGCACACUCACACUUAUCCCAAAUAUUCUCCUACUUUAAUGGACAUUAACUUGAAAAUAAAUCUUAAUAUUAAGUCCCAAAUAUUCUCCCAGUUGCCUACUAUAUUCUAAUUAAAUGCUAUAUCUGAUAAAAAAUUAUAGGAAGAAUAACUAAAGGUUCUACUCAGAAAAAUCAUAAAACUGAGCAGGGUUGGUAUCCAGAUCAUUUGAGAGGCCAACUUAAAAAUUUGACUGGAAUAUCUCAUUAAUUAUCAACAGGC